This is a long non-coding RNA of Triticum dicoccoides, 985 nucleotides long. RefSeq lists it as uncharacterized. The record is from RefSeq and is a predicted model, not a curated record. The transcript is spliced from 5 exons. Lineage: Eukaryota; Viridiplantae; Streptophyta; Magnoliopsida; Poales; Poaceae.
GCCAUAGCCCCGAGCUCCCGGCCCCCUCCAUCGCCUACCUUCCUUUGUUCCUUCGCUGCCCGAGUCCCCACCGCCGGCGGUGAGCAUAACCCAGAUCCCCUAACCACAUCGAUGCAUGCCUUCCCUAGUGACGCGGCCACCGACAGCCCCGUCCACCCGGGCCUUCACCGACCACCGCUAGCCCUCUCGAAGGACCAAGACAGCGCCCUCCACUUCCUCCUCUCGGGGAAAGAUCCUUCCUAUUCUUCCUCUCUGGAAGGACCAAGACAGCGCCCUCCUCUUCUUCCUCUCAGGGAAAGAUUCCAUAUGUGCUUGUGCUAGAGGCAUGCCGCUGGCACCGUUGGGCCCUCAUUUAUGUUAUACAAGCCAUUUGAGGAUAUGACGUGAUGAGCUAUUUUUCAGUCAACGCGUGGCGAGUCCACUUGGAACUGAAUAGGCACUGGUUCUUCUUCUUACUCUCCAUGAGCCCCUUAUACUACUGCUAUGGUUUAUGUGCCUACUUUUAACUCUCUAAUCUGAAAUUGGGCUGCUUUGUUUCAGCUGAUCUGAUAGUGUGGGUGGGAUAUACAGAACAACCUUGAGAUGUGUCUGCGACCAAUCCACAUUCGGCACAACUCCCACAACUUGAACACCAAGCUCUUUGCCAUUUAAAUGGUUGAGAGAAUAAACUGGAUGGAUGACAAAUCCGAGAAGGGCAUUGAACAAAGUGUAGGUAUCAUGGUCAAUUAUCUCUAAGGUACUUAGCCAACUGGUGCACAUGGACGUGAUGACUUUGCAGCGUUUAUGGACCAACCAACUUGUAAUCAUGGAUCUUAUGUGUUGUAGACCAUUUGGUGAUUUGGUUAUUUUGGAGCUUGCAUUUUGUGCAUGUGGAUACAGACUUGUGUGUACUGGAUCAUCUAGUUGAAGUUUCUCAUACCAGCAAAUAAUGCUAUCUUUUUGUGACUUGUGUGUUCUGGGUGAUUAUUAAGAUGGUAAAAACUAU